CGGGGCUACUGCUCUGUAAUUGGCAUGGGGGCGACCUUCACCCUCGCCCGAGUACCCAUUGGAGGGCAAGUCUGGUGCCAGCAGCCGCGGUAAUUCCAGCUCCAAUAGCGUAUAUUAAACUUGUUGCAGUUAAAAAGCUCGUAGUUGAAUCUCACGUCCCGCCCUAGUGUUUUCACUAGGCGUGACACCUCGUUACUUUGAGAAAAUUAGAGUGUUUCAAGCAGGUUUUGCCUGUAUAAUUGAGCAUGGAAUAACCUUGUAUGACCCUGUCGUACCGUUGGUUGCCUUGGGUAAUGGUUAAUAGGAACGGUUGGGGGCAUUCGUACUCGACUGUCAGAGGUGAAAUUCUUAGAUUUGUCGAUGACGCACGACUGCGAAAGCAUUUGCCAAGGACGCUUCCAUUAAUCAAGAAC
Molecule: ribosomal RNA, 413 nt
Filed under: Babesia bovis
Lineage: Eukaryota; Apicomplexa; Aconoidasida; Piroplasmida; Babesiidae
Description: SSU rRNA
Rfam family: Eukaryotic small subunit ribosomal RNA
Source: RNAcentral